RNAcentral lists this ribosomal RNA (460 nucleotides) under uncultured bacterium. RNAcentral describes it as "partial 16S ribosomal RNA". It matches the Rfam family "Bacterial small subunit ribosomal RNA", at positions 338 to 795 of the family's 1533-position model. The record is from RNAcentral.
CCUACGGGAGACAGCAGUGAGGAAUAUUGGUCAAUGGACGCAAGUCUGAACCAGCCAUGCCGCGUGCAGGAUGACGGCUCUAUGAGUUGUAAACUGCUUUUGUACGAGGGUAAACCCCGAUACGUGUAUCGUGUUGAAAGUAUCGUACGAAUCAGGAUCGGCUAACUCCGUGCCAGCAGCCGCGGUAAUACGGAGGAUCCGAGCGUUAUCCGGAUUUAUUGGGUUUAAAGGGUGCGUAGGCGGUUUGAUAAGUUAGAGGUGAAAUGUCGGGGCUCAACCCCGAAACUGCCUCUAAUACUGUUGGACUAGAGAAUAGUUGCGGUAGGCGGAAUGUAUGGUGUAGCGGUGAAAUGCUUAGAGAUCAUACAGAACACCGAUUGCGAAGGCAGCUUACCAAACUAUAUCUGACGUUGAGGCACGAAAGCGUGGGUAGCAAACAGGAUUAGAUACCCUGGUAGUC